Molecule: ribosomal RNA, 1685 nt
Filed under: Meloidogyne sp. 9 JH-2014
Lineage: Eukaryota; Metazoa; Nematoda; Chromadorea; Rhabditida; Meloidogynidae
Description: SSU rRNA
Rfam family: Eukaryotic small subunit ribosomal RNA
Source: RNAcentral
AUGUAUAAGUUUAAUCGUUUAUCGAGAAACCGCGAACGGCUCAUUACAAUGGCCAUUAUUUACUUGAUCUUGAUUGUCUAAAUGGAUAACUGUGGAAAAGCUAGAGCUAAUACAUGCACUAAAGCUUUGUCCUUACGGAAAAGCGCAUUUAUUAGAACAAAACCACGCGGCUUCGGCUGCUUCUUGUUGACUCAGAAUAACUUAGCUGACCGCAUGGCCUUGUGCCGGCGGCGUGUCUUUCAAGCGUCCACUUUAUCAACUUGACGGGAGCAUAAUCGACUCCCGUGGUGGUGACGGAUAACGGAGGAUCAGGGUUCGACUCCGGAGAAGGGGCCUGAGAAAUGGCCACUACGUCUAAGGAUGGCAGCAGGCGCGCAAAUUACCCACUCUCGGCUCGAGGAGGUAGUGACGAGAAAUAACGAGACUGUUCUCUUUGAGGCCGGUCAUCGGAAUGGGUACAAUUUAAACCCUUUAACGAGUAUCAAGCAGAGGGCAAGUCUGGUGCCAGCAGCCGCGGUAAUUCCAGCUCUGCAAAUACAUAGAAUUAUUGCUGCGGUUAGAAAGCUCAUAGUUGGAUUCGUAUCGAUACCUUGGAACCCUUCGGGUGUCUCUAGGUGUUAUCGAUUUAUCGUAAUGUUCGGUUUUGAGUCCUUAACAGGAUUCUUAACAGGCAUUGCAAGUUUACUUUGAACAAAUCAGAGUGCUUCAAACAGGCGUUUUCGCUUGAAUGAUCGUGCAUGGAAUAAUAGAAAAUGAUUUCGGUUCAGUUUUAUUGGUUUUACGGACUGAGAUAAUGGUUAACAGAGACAAACGGGGGCAUUUGUAUGGUCCCGUGAGAGGUGAAAUUCUUGGACCGUGGCCAGACAAACUACAGCGAAAGCAUUUGCCAAGAAUGUUUUUAUUAAUCAAGAACGAAAGUCAGAGGUUCGAAGGCGAUCAGAUACCGCCCUAGUUCUGACCGUAAACGAUGCCAACUAGCGAUCCGCCGAUGGAAAUUAUAUUGCCUUGGUGGGGAGCUUCCCGGAAACGAAAGUCUUCCGGUUCCGGGGGAAGUAUGGUUGCAAAGCUGAAACUUAAAGGAAUUGACGGAAGGGCACCACCAGGAGUGGAGCCUGCGGCUUAAUUUGACUCAACACGGGGAAACUCACCCGGCCCGGACACUGUGAGGAUUGACAGAUUGAUAGCUUUUUCAUGAUUCAGUGGAUGGUGGUGCAUGGCCGUUCUUAGUUCGCGGAGUGAUUUGUCUGGUUUAUUCCGAUAACGAGCGAGACUCUAACCUACUAAAUAGUUGGUACAUACUCUUAGUGUAUACAGCUUCUUAGAGGGAUUUGCGGCGUUCAGCCGAAAGAAAUUGAGCAAUAACAGGUCUGUGAUGCCCUUAGAUGUCCGGGGCUGCACGCGCGCUACACUGGCAAAAUCAACGUGCUUGUCCUACCCUGAAAGGGGCGGGUAAACCAUUGAAAAUUUGCCGUGAUUGGGAUCGGAAAUUGCAAUUAUUUUCCGUGAACGAGGAAUUCCAAGUAAGUGCGAGUCAUCAGCUCGCGUUGAUUACGUCCCUGCCCUUUGUACACACCGCCCGUCGCUGCCCGGGACUGAGCCAUUUCGAGAAAUUUGGGGACCGUUGAUUUAAUUUUUCUAAAUUACUUUGAUGGAAACCAAUUUAAUCGCAGUGGCUUGAACCGGGC